GCUUUAGUGGAGCCGGUGGCUUGACAAAGAGAGUACGGGAAGAAUUCAUUCCUAUGCGUCCGCAGCUAAUGAAUCUGAUGCCAUUGAUUCUGUUGUAAUGCUAGCGAAAGGCUUUAAAAAAAUACCUGGCUCAAGCCUCAAGGGAAUGGGAAUAAACUGGCUUUCUUCUCCUAGUUGGCUAUGGGGCAUGGGAGAGAGAGUGAUUA
This 206-nucleotide unclassified non-coding RNA is filed under the name Hevea brasiliensis (rubber tree). Lineage: Eukaryota; Viridiplantae; Streptophyta; Magnoliopsida; Malpighiales; Euphorbiaceae. The record is from RNAcentral.